CCUACGGGAGGCAGCAGUGAGGAAUAUUGGUCAAUGGGCGGAAGCCUGAACCAGCCAAGCAGCGUGCAGGAUGACGGCCCUACGGGCUGUAAACUGUUUUUAUACGGGAAUAACACGCCUUUCGUGUAGGGCCUUGCCUGUACCGUAUGUAACAGGACCGGCUAAUUACGUUCCAGCAGCCCCGGUAAUACGGAAGGUCCGGGGGUUAUCCGGAUUUAUUGGGUUUAAGGGGAGCGUAGGCCGCAUGUUAUGCGUGCUGUGAAAUGUCCGGGCUCAACCCGGGCCUGGCAGCGCGAACUGGCGGGCUUGAGUGCGCGGAAGGCAGGCGGAAUUCGUCGUGUAGCGGUGAAAUGCUUAGAUAUGACGAAGAACCCCGAUUGCGAAGGCAGCUUGCUGCAGCGGAACUGACGCUGAUGCUCGAAAGCGCGGGUAUCGAACAGGAUUAGAUACCCGUGUAGUC
Molecule: ribosomal RNA, 460 nt
Filed under: uncultured bacterium
Lineage: Bacteria
Description: partial 16S ribosomal RNA
Rfam family: Bacterial small subunit ribosomal RNA
Source: RNAcentral